RNAcentral lists this non-coding RNA (28 nucleotides) under Cricetulus griseus (Chinese hamster). The record is from RNAcentral. Lineage: Eukaryota; Metazoa; Chordata; Mammalia; Rodentia; Cricetidae.
CCCGGAAGUAAGGGGAAGAGGGCCAAAA